RNAcentral lists this ribosomal RNA (460 nucleotides) under uncultured bacterium. Its description in RNAcentral is "partial 16S ribosomal RNA". It matches the Rfam family "Bacterial small subunit ribosomal RNA", at positions 339 to 795 of the family's 1533-position model. The record is from RNAcentral.
CUACGGGGGGCAGCAGUCGAGAAUCUUCGGCAAUGGGCGAAAGCCUGACCGAGCGAUGCCGCGUGCGGGAUGAAGGCCUUCGGGUUGUAAACCGCUGUCAACGAGGAGGAAAUGCAGGGGGGUUCUCCCUUCUGUUUGACCUAUUCGAGGAGGAAGUACGGGCUAAGUUCGUGCCAGCAGCCGCGGUAAGACGAACCGUACAAACGUUAUUCGGAAUUAUUGGGCUUAAAGGGUGCGUAGGCUGUGCAGAAAGUUGGGUGUGAAAGCCCUCGGCUCAACCGAGGAAUUGCGCCCAAAACACUGUGCUCGAGGGAGACAGAGGUGAGCGGAACUCAAGGUGGAGCGGUGAAAUGCGUUGAUAUCUUGAGGAACACCGGUGGCGAAAGCGGCUCACUGGGUCUCUACUGACGCUGAGGCACGAAAGCCAAGGUAGCAAACGGGAUUAGAUACCCGUGUAGUC